CAGAAGGUCGGGCUUCCUGUAGGUGGACAUUUCAGGCCAAGAUCACAAGAAGCUGGUGUCAAGACCCUUCCUGGAUGCACAGAGCUCUGUGAUGAACACCGUCAUGCCUCUGAACCUGGGGACUCUGAGAGUAAGAAGGGGCUUGGGAGCCAUGGCCUCAGGCUAAGCAGAGAGCUGGUGGAGGGCUCUAUUCCUCAGUGCUGGUUCUGGUGAAAUGGGGUACACUGUUUCCAACUGGGCUGAGUGGAACCCCCAUUCACGACAAGCUGUGUGAAGGCAUCUGUAAGCUGGGACAAAGGUCCACUCCUUCUGGGGUGUGCAGGAGUGUCUGGGGAAGGACGGAUCUUGUCCGAGUGAAUGGAAAGGCAGUGUGGGCAGGUACUCUCUGAGUCAAUGGGGAAUACAUUUCUGGAAAGGA
Molecule: long non-coding RNA, 418 nt
Organism: Mus musculus (house mouse)
Lineage: Eukaryota; Metazoa; Chordata; Mammalia; Rodentia; Muridae
Product: predicted gene, 52404
Exons: 2
Source: RefSeq, a predicted model, not a curated record